GACGAACGCUGGCGGCGUGCUUAACACAUGCAAGUCGAACGGAAAGGCCCGGCUCUUGCGGGUUGCUCGAGUGGCGAACGGGUGUGUAACACGCGAGUAACCUGCCCUUGACUGUGGGAUAUCUCCAGGAAACUGGGGCUAUUAUCGGAUAGGAGCUCCUGCUGCACGGUGUGGGUUGGUAAGUUUCGGCGGUUGGGGAUGGUCUCGCGGCGUCGUAGCUAGUUGGUAUGGUAGUGGCUUACCAAGGCUACGAAGGGUAGCCGACAUGAGAGGGUGAUCGGCCACACGGGAAGUGAGACACGGGCCAGACUCCUACGGGAGGCAGCAGUAGGGAAUCGGCCGCAAUGGGCGAAAGCCUGACGGAGCAACGCCGCGUGAGUGAUGAAGGUCGUCGGAUCGGAAAACUCGGUUAUUAGGGAAGAACAAAUGUGUAAGUAACUAUGCACGUCUUGACGGUACCUAAUCAGAAAGCCACGGCUAACUACGUG
This 488-nucleotide ribosomal RNA is filed under the name uncultured bacterium. RNAcentral describes it as "partial 16S ribosomal RNA". It matches the Rfam family "Bacterial small subunit ribosomal RNA", at positions 28 to 507 of the family's 1533-position model. The record is from RNAcentral.